Molecule: ribosomal RNA, 440 nt
Filed under: uncultured bacterium
Lineage: Bacteria
Description: partial 16S ribosomal RNA
Rfam family: Bacterial small subunit ribosomal RNA
Source: RNAcentral
CCUACGGGAGGCAGCAGUGGGGAAUAUUGCACAAUGGUGAAAACCCUGAUGCAGCGACGCCGCGUGAGUGAAGAAGUAAUUCGUUAUGUAAAGCUCUAUCAGCAGGGAAGAAAAUGACGGUACCUGAGUAAGAAGCCCCGUCUAACUACGUGCCACCAGCCGCGGGAACACGUAGGGGGCAAGCGUUAUCCGGAUUUACUGGGUGUAAAGGGGGCGUAGACGGCAGUGCAAGUCUGGAGUGAAAGGCGGGGGCUCAACCCCCGGACUGCUCUUGAAACUGUACGGCUGGAGUGCAGGAGAGGUAAGUGGAAUUCCUAGUGUAGCGGUGAAAUGCGUAGAUAUUAGGAGGAACACCAGUGGCGAAGGCGGCUUACUGGACUGUAACUGACGUUGAGGCUCGAAAGCGUGGGGAGCAAACAGGAUUAGAUACCCUUGUAGUC